This 200-nucleotide ribosomal RNA is filed under the name uncultured bacterium. RNAcentral's name for it is "partial 16S ribosomal RNA". It matches the Rfam family "Bacterial small subunit ribosomal RNA", at positions 8 to 224 of the family's 1533-position model. The record is from RNAcentral.
AGAGUUUGAUCCUGGCUCAGGAUAAACGCUGGCGGCGUGCCUAACACAUGCAAGUCGAACGCCCUGACUUACGAGUGAGGGAGUGGCGGACGGGUGAGGAACACGUGGGUACCUACCUUCAGGUGAGGGAUACCGGCGAGAAAUCGCCGACAAUACCGCAUAGGUUUGGGAGACCAAACAAAGUCGAAAGACGCCGGGAG